This is a long non-coding RNA of Ictalurus punctatus (channel catfish), 8488 nucleotides long. Lineage: Eukaryota; Metazoa; Chordata; Actinopteri; Siluriformes; Ictaluridae. The record is from Ensembl.
UUUUUUUGUCUUAUUAAUGUCAAGAGAGAGAGAGAUAAAGGUAUGGAAGCUUAUUUCCACUACGUAUGAGAAAAUGUUAUGCAGAAUGAUCUCACAAUUACCUUCUUUUUAUCUCACAUCCUGUUAACACACUCUCCAGGAGUGGCCCAGCCCCGCUGAAAAGAAUACUUCACUUAGGUUAUAUUGCCUCGCAACACAUUGCUAGGUUUUUGUUGUGGAUUGAUUAUGGGAAACGGAAGCACAGAGUCACAACUGUUAAAUAUUAACUCGCAGGUGAAACGUACAGUCGCAAUUGUGUGAAAAUAACGAGAUUUUUAGAGCUGCUAUAACAUAAAACGGGAACCAACUUGAUUCUUGGAUGUUCCACAACAUUCAACAUAUUAAUAAAUGAGUAAAAAUCACAUAUUCUUUAAUGAAUUAAUAUCCCACUUCAUCUCAGGCCACAUCACACCACCCCACCAUUGAAUACUUUCCUAUAACAUGCUCCCAAAGUGCUUUAUUCCUUAAACAAAACCAUAUGUCCUUCUUCUAAUGAACUCACUCAAACAUUUUAAAAAGAAGUCAAACAUCAGAUAUCCACGAAGACUGUGGAAGCAAAUUGUAGUAGUAUCUGUGGUACCUGCUCCUCUUUCAAUGUUCAUAAGGUGUAGUCUGCUCUAGUUUUAGCUGUUCAUGUAUUGUUCUUGUUUAUUGAUAUGAUGUUUGGUUAUGCUAACUGUACCCCCCCCCCCCUCUAGUUGACUUAAUUUAACCAAUGUUACUUCAUUAAUUUUGUGACUUACAUACUGAUAUCUUUCUAGUUCUAGGUUCAAGUUUGCAGUAACUGUCUAAAAUAUGAUUUAGUAUAACCUAAUUAUGACAUGAAAUCCAUGUAAUUGCUUCAGAAUUGAAGUAUAAACACUGAAAUGCUUAUUUUACCAGCCUAAUGGCUUCACCUAACUGCAAAAUCUAUCACUGGCAAACAUGGCUGCGCUUCCACAGCACAGAACAGUGUAAACUUUAAAAAAAAAUUUUUUGUGACUAACCUCAUUAACACACCAUUCAUUUGAAAUUGAAGGUAACAUUUUAUUUAAAAAAAUAAUAAUAAUGUAACAUUACAGUUUCUGCAUAAACCGUGAUCAAAGUUGAACUUCAAACUUCUGCAGUGUUCAGAAAUAACUAGCAGUUAAGCCUUACGUACCAGAUGAGGUAGACGCUUCCCCUCUUCAGGAAAAUAAUUAAGCAGAAAUAUUUAACAUUAGCAAUGGAGUGUGGUUAAUUUUCUUAGUUAAAGCAGUUUUGUAUAUGAAAGUUCUACAAAAAUAAAGACUUUGUUAUUUAAAAAAGUAGUAUAUAUAUAUAUAUAUAUAUAUAUAUAUAUAUAUAUAUAUAUAAAAUACAUAUUUAAAUGGAUAUAAAAAAAAAGUUUUCAAUUUAAACAAAAGGGAUGUGGCUGUACACUACUAGUCAAACGUUUUGGAAAAACUAGGGCUUCUUAUGAUUACAUUACAUCCAUAUCACAGCACUGUUGAACUCUUGAUUCUGACUGGGUCAAGUUCUCCGACACAGGAAUGUCGGAAAAAUGAAGGACAUUGUACUUUGUCAGUAACAUGACACGUUUCAUUGUCUUAUUAACUUCAAGAGAGAGGACAAAAAGAGAUCCUGGUGAGAGAACUGGUUAUAGCUGUUACAAUUUAAACGAUACCAGGAACAAGCUAGUUGCAUGGAUGUUUCACCCCAUUAAAUGCAACUAUAAAUGGAUAAAAAUGAUGUGGAAAUUCACUAACAAAAAUAUACAUGAUUUGGAUUACAAAAAUAUGCAUUUUCGAAACUUUGACGGUUAAAGUAAAUGGUUCUGUUACGAUAGCCGUGAAAACCGUGCUCCAUAGUUAGGGAUAAAAACAACUUACAUUUUGUAAUAAGCGAAAAACCCCAAAACAAAACAAAACAAGCACCCUAACAUUUUGAAGUGAAAUAAAUAAAUAAAUAAAUAAAUCAAUCACAGAUGGUCUCUCUUUCUCUUCUUUUUGAGUUUUGCACUGUCGGUCCAUGAACACCAAUUUGACUUGCCAGAGACAGCGACUUUUUCAGCUCCGAGUGUGGCAUCUAGAUCAUUAUCUGGGUCUCUUACUUGCUUCUUUUUCUUAAUAUGUACUAAUAAUGCACCCCCUGAGGAUGAAAUACUGUCCUUUUUAGCAUGGCAUGUGUCUAAAGCAUCUCUUGAUUCUUCUGCAGCAAAUAGCUUAGGUACAACAUCUAAAAUCUGAUUCCCACCUCUAUCAACUGUGUCCUUUCUAUUCUUUUUCUUCUUCUCCUUCUCAAUUAUUGCUUCUGAAGGUUCUGAUGGAGAACCACUCUCCUGCCACAAUUCAUGUUCAACAAUCUCAGGAUACACUUCUAUGUCUGUUUCUACCCAUUGCUGCUUCUUCUUCUUCUUCUUCUUUUUCCUUCCAUUAGGCUGUAUGGUAUCCUCUGACUGCAGUACUUGUUGGCUACUUUCAGAACGGUCAUCUUUGGUCCUCUCACAUUUGUUUGUCUCAUUGGUGUCAUUUUGUCCACUACUUGAAGCUUCUUUCACUACUCUUGUCUGUUUAGUAUUUUGCCAAUGGGAGUCAUCCAGAUGCAACAAGCCGUGAGAAACCGACCACGAUCCAUCAUUUUCCAACUCUUUCCUUUUCCUCUUCUUUUUCUUCUUCUUCACUGGUUCUGAUCCACCAACACCUUCCUCCUCACCAAUCCCUCCAGUCUCACUUCUGGUGCUUGGGGUAUUGGAUGUUGUCAUCUCUAUGAGAUCAAGUCUGAGAGACACGGAUGCAUUUUUAGACGUCUCCUCUUCUUGAUGCGUUUUAAUUCUGCCCUUUUUCUUCUUUGGCUUUCUCACCAGAACCACCUCAGCUGCUUGCUGCUCAGAAUCUUGAGUAUUUGGAGCCUCCACUUGUUCUGUCGUCUCUACCAACAAUGCCUCAACGUCCAUAUUUUCUUCCCUGACCACCUUUUGCCGUUUCCUUUUUUUCCUCUUCUUCCUUUGAGUUAUAGAGUGAUCUGUCAAAUCUAUGCUAUUCACUGGUUGGAUUUCUAUGCCUGCUGGUAUUUCGGGGAUUUUCUCCAACGGUUCUCCAAUAUUCUUACUGGCCGUAGCCAUCUCUCCUACUUGUCCUUCUCCAACAUCAUCUAUAAACAUUUUCUUCUUUUUCUUGACAGUUUUGAUACCAUGGCUUGAAUAAGAUUCUUCACUACACUGCCAAGCCACGAUCUCAGUUAUCACAGGACUUGAAUCCUGUUUCGUCUUCGCCCUUUUCUUUUUCUUUUUCCUUUGUGGUUCAAGACAAUCAGACUGAACAAAAUUAGAAAGAUCAGUUCUGGUCAGCUGCUCAGUUUCCUCAGCUAUAGACACCAAAGAAGCUGAACCUUGACAGGGGAUCUGGAUAGCCUCCUCUACACCAAUCCAUUCAUCUUCCUGAGGCACUGGUUGACCAUGUUUGUCUUUUUUUCUCUUUUUCUUUGGUUUAAUUCCAUUCACUGAAGCACAAACCACUGAAGAGUCCUGAACUGAUAGACCAGAGUCUGCAGCAACACUGAUGUCUGGCAAGGUGUCAACUGGUUCCUCCAACAACCGAUCAUUUUUGUCCUUUUUUCUCUUUGGUUUACUUCCACUAACUGAAGCACAAACCACUGAAGAGUCCUGAACUGACAGACUCGAGUCUGCAGCAACACUGAUGUCUGGCAAGGUGUCAACUGGUUCCUCCAACAACCGAUCAUUUUUGUCCUUUUUUCUCUUUUUCUUUGCUUUACUUCCACUAACUGAAGCACAAACCACUGAAGAGUCCUGAACUGAUAGACCAGAGUCUGCAGCAACACUGAUGUCUGGCAAGGUGUCAACUGGUUCCUCCAACAACCGAUCAUUUUUGUCCUUUUUUCUCUUUUUCUUUGCUUUACUUCCACUAAUUGAAGCACAAACCACUGAAGAGUCCUGAACUGAUAGACUCGAGUCUGCAGCAACACUGAUGUCUGGCAAGGUGUCAACUGGUUCCUCCAACAACCAAUCAUUUUUGCCCUUUUUUCUCUUUGGUUUACUUCCACUAACUGAAGCACAAACCACUGAAGAGUCCUGAACUGACAGACUCGAGUCUGCAGCAACACUGAUGUCUGGCAAGGUGUCAACUGGUUCCUCCAACAACCGAUCAUUUUUGUCCUUUUUACUCUUUGGUUUACUUCCACUAACUGAAGCACAAACCACUGAAGAGUCCUGAAGUGACAGACUCGAGUCUGCAGCAACACUGAUGUCUGGCAAGGUGUCAACUGGUUCCUCCAACAACCGAUCAUUUUUGUCCUUUUUUCUCUUUGGUUUACUUCCACUAACUGAAGCACAAACCACUGAAGAGUCCUGAACUGAUAGACCAGAGUCUGCAGCAACACUGAUGUCUGGCAAGGUGUCAACUGGUUCCUCCAACAACCGAUAAUUUUUGUCCUUUUUUCUCUUUUUCUUUUCUUUACUUCCACUAACUGAAGCACAAACCACUGAAGAGUCCUGAACUGAUAGACCAGAGUCUGCAGCAACACUGAUGUCUGGCAAGGUGUCAACUGGUUCCUCCAACAACCAAUCAUUUGUGCCCUUUUUUCUCUUUGGUUUACUUUCACUAACUGAAGCACAAACCACUGAAGAGUCCUGAACUAAUAGACCUGAGUCUGCAGCAAUACUGAUGUCUGGCAAGGUAUAAACUGUUUCCUCCAACAACCGAUCAUUUUUGACCUUUCUUCUUUUUUUACGCUUGACGUCAUCAAAGUGAAGUGCAGAAUAUUCAUUCUGACCCAAAUCAGCUUGUCUUGGUGCCAGGUUAUCUGAGAUCUCAGGGUCUUUAGUCUUUUUAUUUUUCUUCCUCUUCAGAAAUUUCAAUCCACCAAAAUUGAACAGUGGGGUCUCGGUCUUCUCUUCCUGUCUGACCAUGAGGAUAUCCUUACUACAACUUGAGUAAUCAUUUCCUAUGGAUCCUGAUUCGUAAUCCUCUAAUGGCAGUGAUGAAUGAUGGUGUGGAUCUUGCAUAUCCAAUGUCGUCUUGUCCUUUUCCUUUCUUACCUGGCAUAUAUCUCCAGCUGUUGGUGAGACUAUUUCACUCGGGUGAGUCCUCAGAGAUUUGGAAUAUUUAAGAAAGUCACCCUCCAUAUCUUCCAAGAUUAAUGAACCCUUUUUCUUUAUUAUCAAACCUAUGUCAUCAUGUGGUACUACAAUGCUUUCUAAGACUUCCUUAUCAUUUUCAACACUAGUCUCUUUUAAAGGACUUGAUUGAUUAUUUGGUUCUUGAAAAAGAUCCUGUGAGCUGAUGAAACCUCCACUAACACUACCAAAGUCUUCGUUUUCCAGUGGCUCGUGAUGUACGCUUUGAUGGAUAUCCUGGACUUGUACUUGGUGUUCACAGGAUGAGAUGUUCUCAAAGCAGAGUGCAUCUUCCUUUCCUUCUUUGUCCGUAGGGUUGUCCUGCAAAAUCUGGGUUUCGUUUCCAAGUGGCUCAUGAUGUACGCCUUGAUGGAUAUCCUGGACUUGUACUUGGUGUUCACAGGAUGAGAUGUUCUCCAAGCAGGGUGCAUCUUCCUUUCCUUCUUUGUCCGUAGGAUUGUCCUGCAAAAUCUGGGUUUCGUUUCCAAGUGGCUCAUGAUGUACGCCUUGAUGGAUAUCCUGGACUUGUACUUGGUGUUCACAGGAUGAGAUGUUCUCCAAGCAGGGUGCAUCUUCCCUUCCUUCUCUGUCCAUAGGGUUGUCCUGCAAAAUCUGGGUUUCGUCUUCAUCCUGGUCUACCAAAUUUGGCCGCUGCGUCUCCUCGUCUGACGUUUCAUCAAUUGGUUCCAUCCAGUUCCAUUCGGCAGAUUUCCUGCUUUUCUCACCGUUCUCCGUGGACCGAGACACUUCUAUAUUAAGUGAGCUGCUCUCAUUAUAUACAUCUGCAUCAUCUUGAGGCGCCAUCAGGUCUUCAGCAACUUUCCUGGUUUGAGAACACGUCUCCUGCUCCUCUUGACAUUUGUUGCUUUUCUUAGUGCACGUUUCUGGAGCCUGUCUCGUUUUCCAUUUCAGGGAUGGUAGCCAUGUUUGUUGGUUUCUUUUAUGUGUGUUCUCAAUAAAGCAAUCUUUAUCCUAAAACAAAAUCAGACAUAUUGAUUAACAAUAAUAAAAUGUCUGUUUGAUGGCUUGAGAGAAAACUAAAGAAUAACUAGAAAAGAAUGAAACAAUCAAUCAUGACGUUUCUGAAAAGUCAAAUGCUAAAACGACGAUGCAGAAUUACAAAUUUUGACUUCAAAACGGCAUUCAAAUGGAUCCUUGUUACUUGACGAACCUGCCACCCCUGAAGUCACAGAUACAAUGCAGUAAACAGUUUUUUUUUUAAACUUUCAGUCCCUCAAAGAAACCUUGAAAUGGUUCUAAAUGGCAGACAUUUUCACUGUUAAUCUGUUGCUGCUCAAAAAAGUGUUGCACUUACCAUUUAAGUUAUUUGUGAAGUGAUACAUUUGACAAAUUUUUGAACUUUUUCAGUCGAAAAAUUUGGUGUAUCCCUAAAUCACUAAUGCUUAAACUAAUGAGCAUUUGGUAGGAAACGGGGUGGGGCCAGCAAGGGUGUCAGUUAAAACUGCAACUGUCAGUAAUUCCAAAUUCAUAUGUUGAUUGGCUAAUUUGUGGUUUUAUUAGAUUUAUUUGCUCAUUUGCUGUUUUAUUAUUUUUUAAUUAUUAUUCAGGGUUUUUGUCCUAUUCAGUUUUUUGUUGCAUGGCAAAAAGUGAAAACAUCACAACUGUCAAAAUAUAACUGCAAAAUAUACCACUUUUUUAACGUCCUCAUCAUCAUCAUCAUCUUCUGUUUGCAUACUGCUUUCCUUCCGUCUGUAAAUUAAAUCCGAAAAAAGUCAAUAAAAGGACAGACGAAUAAAAUAGAUUAAUAUUGUGUAUUAAUAUGUUCACUCACCUCUUGACUGAAAUGAAAACAGCAAGAGUUUUCUGACAUGGAUUCAAUGUUUAUAACAUUCCUACCACAGCACUACUGUACUCGCAAUUCAGUUUUUUUGCAAGGUGUUGAUUCAUUUCAGCAGCUCCGAUUGUCUUUUCGGCUGCAAUUCCGACGACAGGUUUAUUUUAAUUUGCUCGUUCUAAUACGUUAUGAUAACAAAUGACACCAGGACUUGUAUGCUCGGACGCUCCACAUAAUUGUAACUGUUGAUAAAAUUUCUGUUAGAUGUCGAUUCAUUCAUUUAUUUAUGGAAGGAGUCACCGGUGGCAGCACUCUGUUUUCCACCACAGGAAAGUCUUCAGGACAGAAAAGAUCCUAGUUCCUCAGGAACAUGACAAAAUGAUCAACUUCAAGAAAGGUUGGUGAGGGGACUCAUGGACCUUCAAGAAUGUCAACCCUAACUAUAACUGGUUAAUAAGUACAUAAUUUAUUAGUAUACUGAGUAUAAUGUAAUCUUCGUUAUAGGAAAAUGAUCAACUUCACGGUCCUAACAGUAAGUCCUGCUUACUAAGGCUGCUCCACACCACUACAUUGUAGAUCUUUUUCCUCCAACAGCAUGGCCAAUGUCAAAUUACACGCUUCAACAGAAACAAAUAUAAAACCUACACAAUACUGUAUUCAUGUUUUGUAUAAUACAAUGGUAAACUCACUCAGAAAGCAAUAAAGAUGGACUCAGCUCUCCUCUUCUUUUGUCUCCAUGACCUUUGCUCAGCUUCAAUAUGCAUUUAAAGAACCCACCAACCUCUGAAUUCUGAUAGACGGAAAUAAAAUUAUAAAACGAUUACCUUCACCUUAUAUAGCUGGAACGAAAUGUAAUUUAUCUAAAAUUGAAGAAGAAGAAAAAAAGUUUCCAGACAUUUCCAUUUUCUGAGAAUGCACUUAAAUUGUUGCCAUUCCUUUAACAUUCGGCUGAUAGAUACAGUGCACUCCAUUAAUAUUGGCACCCUUGGUAUAUAUGAGCAAAGACGGCUGUGGUUGUGAUCUUUUGUUAAAAAAAAAAAAAAAAAAAAUUUCACAUAAAAAUACUCUGCUCUCAUGGAUAUCAAACAAUUGCACAAAAUAAGUUUAUCAAAAAAAUAACUUCUAUACAAUAUUUAUUUUUUUUUUAAUUAGAAUAUGUUAUAUACAAAAUAUACAAUGUGCAACAAUUAUUGGCACCACUAUGAGUUCAUGAGAAAAUAUAUUUUAAGUAUAUUCCCAUUGAUAUUUGAAAAAAAAAAAUUGUACAACAAAAUUUUUUUGGAUAAACCCGUGUCGUGUUUGCAAUCGUUUGAUAUCCAUGAGAGCAGAGUAUUUUUGUGAAUUUUUUAAACAAAAGAUCAAAAGUUUCAACAAUAAAGACAAUUUUUCACAGCCUUCUUUGCUCAUAUUUACCAAAGGUGCCAAUAUUAGUGGAGGGCACUCUAUAAGUCUAAAUUAGAUUAAUUAUUAAUUUAAAGUCUUAUUUAUAGAACAAUUUAAAUGAUAAUAGUGUACCAUGGUUUGGGAGGGGGAUGUAAGGCGGUUACAAUAUUCUAAGGUGG